RNAcentral lists this ribosomal RNA (4805 nucleotides) under Triticum aestivum (bread wheat). RNAcentral's name for it is "partial small subunit ribosomal RNA". Lineage: Eukaryota; Viridiplantae; Streptophyta; Magnoliopsida; Poales; Poaceae. The record is from RNAcentral.
CAAGGUAGUCUCGGGGCUCGGGGCUGGCUGGCUCUGGGCUGCGGGAGUGCGGGCUGAGCGCCGAGGGUUGGCGUCGCUCGCUCAGCAGGGAGAGGAGAGCGGCGGGGCGAGGGGAGGGGAGGCGAUCCCAAGGGGUGAGGCGGCGGGGCGGGGCGGGCGCGGCGGGGCGAUCCCAAGGGGUGAGGCGGCGGCUGGGGCGGGUGGCGGGUCGGGGCAGCGGGGAGGGGGGCUGCGGUGGGUCUUAAUGUGUGUAUGUGUGUAUGUAGGCUCGGCUGCGGUCGGAAGCCAGCGCCGGCCACCAAGCGGCGGCUGGCGGCGGAGUGCGGCGGGCGAGGGCAGGGCGGGGCGAGGCCGCGGCGCGGGGAGGGCGGAGCCGGGGCGGGCGCCAGGGACCCGCGACAAAGGGGCUCCAUAGCAAGGAGGACAAUAGGCACAGCAAACUACGCCAAAUUACCGCUCAUUAUACGUCUGAGGACCAGGCGGAGUCGGGGGGGCCGGAGGAUACUACCCAAGAUGGCGCGGUGUUUUAUACCCUGUUGGUUACGGGUACGUCACCGGUGGUCCAGGCGGUGUUGUCGGAGGAGUCAAGUACGUUGGUCGCGGUGUUGUCAUAGCCGGACAACCAGUCCGGUACGGUCCUCAAUUGUACCCGUACGGUCCCGUCUACGUUGUAAAAGUCGUUGGACCCGGUGUAUAAGGAGUGAGACCAGUACAAGGCGGACGUAGCGUUCGACAAGGAUACGGCAUGGUCCGUCGAUCUGGAUACAGUAGUCGAGGAUACGUCGGUGUCGUCGUUCGACAUAAGGGACCACCUGAAUACGGGUGGUACCCGUGGGGAUACGGCGGAGGAAGAAUAUGGAUAGUUGGUUGUAGCCAAGGAGGACCUAGAGUUGGGACCCCGUGUCGGGGCCCAGUCCCGCGUGGAGAACACAGCGGCUACCACGUCGGACCCGUAGUCAGAGAGAGUCGAAGUCACGGGGGUCACUCGAGUUGACUUGGAUCGAGACGCCUAACCGUUCUCGUGUCAAGUCCCCUACCUUUCUUCAUGAUAAUGUUAUUCUCCUGUUUCGUUAGUUCAACCCUCUUUGGACGACUCAACUACUGGGGAAACCUCGCCCGACUGCGAAGUUGACUUACCUUUCUUAAAUGAUGUCGUCUUCCUGCCUUCAUGAUAAUGUUGUUUCACUGUUUCGUUAGGUUUACCAGAUAAGGACUACUCGAUUCCUAACGUGCACUUAAUCGUCUCUUCUGUAGUUUAGUCGUCGGACAGGCCCUCUAACUUAGGUGACGACAACGGGGACAACCUAGGUGAAGACAACGGGGACAACCUAGGUGAAGACAACGGGGACAACCUAGGUGAAGACAAAGACACCUCGGAAGGAAUGGACGGUUUGUCAGAAGUAGAAAUCAUCCUUGUUAACGAGGUUCGAGGGUACUACGCUAUCGUUUGAACGGAGGAGGACCACGACCGGGCAGCAUGUUACCCCUAUAUAGAAGAAGAUCAAGGUACGUUUUGCCACCUUGUUCACGACGACACCAACGGGGACAAUGUUGCUCGUGCCCUUAAGGUAGUCAACGUUCACUACGUCCCUGUUUGUCUUCGUGAAUACCUUCAAGUAGAGAUGGAUCAUGAUGACUGUGUUUUCAACCUCGUAGACGACUUCUAAACCUCCUCCGGUUUUUCUGUUACGGUUGACGUCCCUUCUAGUUACAAUGAGGCGACCUCCUAUUUUGUUCACUUCUUCUUGGACAACAAAUACGAUGAUUCAACCUUCGUUUCUUACGUAAGUUCAGGGACGAACUUAGUCGUUUACAAGUCAGACUAACCAGUACCCUAGUCCGGUACUCUCAAUAAUAUUCACUGUUUUCUAUACCACGAGACUUUUGAGAACCUCUCUCUUUCGUUCGAAAGUUACUCAUGAAUUUGGUCGCCUUUUUCUAACUUCAACUCCUCUCCGCACAGUUCGUUUCCUUUCGUGCACUACUAAAAGAGUGUUACGACCUUCUUACAUUCCUGGAAUGUAGUAGUGACUCUACCUCGUUUCGUUAAUGAUACAAACCCGUACUACUUUCCAAGUUACGACAACUUGCGGGGUUCCUCGCACUUCUAAAUAAACUCUUGAUAGAGCACCUCGACGUUUUCUUCCUUUUUCGUUUCCGACGACUUCUCGUGUUUUCUGCGUAUCGUCUUAUAUCUCUUAAAGAACUCAGUACACUAAAGUAGUUCCGUUUGAGGGUCACCGCUUUUCAAGUUCUAGCCGAUCUCCUACUACUUGCGAUACGGGCUGAACUCUUCUAACUGGCGAACCUACAAAAAGUUCUGAUAUAUUCCGUAGAACUCUUUCUUCUUCUUCUUGUCUUCUCUUAAGCCUUCCUCGUUAAUUCCUCUGUCCUUGCCUUUUUGGCGCUACUCAAAGCCUUCUACUACCUUCUUGUACAACGACUACCGUGUGAAUUACGUUUUUGAAUGACCGCACUGAUGACAAGUGUCUAUUUUCUAAGUGCACGAAUGGACCGUCAACGAAGUUUGAACAGACCGAGCUACGGUUUUCUUGAGAAACUACUACAGUACCUCCUCGAACUAUUCGUCAUAGUUCUACUAUCCCGAAAUUAAUUUCUACUUCACUUUAGACCUUUCUAAGGAUACAACCGGAGUACCUGUAAUCUCCUGAAGGUUCGACGACAAUGACUCCUACUUUUUAUAUUUCCUCACAGCUUGUAUUUAUAGUUCGAAUAAAUACUCCUGGUUUAACUUUCCGAGUUCCUUUUCCUAGAUUUCCUCCGGUUCUUCGCAGUCGCUGACCCACUAUUAAAAGACCUAGAUGACAUAAGUUAGUUCCUUUAAUGACGACGAAGUUGUACCCUACUAAGAUUUAGUGAUAAACUACUAUGGGUCCUUAUGUCCCUAGACCCACCGCUCUGUAUACGAUUUCUCGAAAAACUUCUCAUAUAACGGGCGGAGUUUCUUUCCGAAUUUCUCUUUCUCGCGUACUCCCUUCUUCUCUUCCGCUUCUUUCUCUUUCUGGCACUUCUCUCUCUUUUCUUCUUUCUCUUCCUUUUCCUUUUCUUCCUCUUUCUAGCGUUUCUGUUUCUUUCUCUGGCUCUCUUCCUUUCUCUUUCCCUUUUUCCUUUUCUGGCCAGUUCCUCUCUACUUUACCUAUAACUACUACUACACCUUUAAGUACGGAGUUUUCUAUUCUUUGCUCUCUUCCUAUUUCUUUUCUUCGUAUUUUCCGCGGUGGUACUGUGGUGUCUAAGACUUUCCCUACUCUUCCUACUGAGCUCCUUUAGAGCUUCCGUAUCGUCACUAGCGUUCUUUAGAUCCUUCGUGUGGGUACGAAGUCUGAGUCUAUCACUUUUGGCCGUAUCUUCUGUGUUUUUCCUAGCUCUAUCAAGGGCGUUUUUACCACCCGUACUCCUCGAACUUCUGCCACUUGAACCUCUUCUACCCCUCUAGGCAAUCCGAAACGAAAAUGGAGGUUCUAAACAGUCAUGAAUGUUGACAGGGAACAGUACAAGAGUUAACGACGAUAAAACAGAAUAAGACGAAUUAUUGACUGAUCACAAUAUUAAUGGCUUUUAAUUACGGAUGUAAAAACAGUAAAAGACCUUAGAUGAGUAAUAAGACGGAAAGACGUCAUCGUAUUUUGACCAACCGGAUAUGAAAACUGGAACGAGUCCCCUCGAAACAGCAGAUUGAAAACACCACAUCGCCACGUAAAUCGAGCCUGCUAAAUCACAUACAAACGUUCAAUGAUCAAAAUUACGAAUAUAGUGAUUUGUUCAAAGAAUGACUGUUAAAACCCACUCUGUAGUCUCAAACCCAUCACCACAGGACUAACAUCCGUUAUACCAAAAACUGGUUCGCUCACUACCUGUCAACGUACGCGGACAAUGGUAACUAAGUCGUACCUGUACCUACGGACAUCGGCGUGAUUGUUGUGGACAAACGUUCUCCCCGUCGGCGACGUCGUCAAGUAGAAAGUGUCGUUACUCAUUAAACUGUCAAGACAGUACUCCCCUAAAUUCUAACAUUACUACACAUGUACACAUACGUACUUACGUAUGAGUAUCAGCCGACUAGAACAGUGUCCUACGGACCAAAAUGACCGUUCUACAAGGCUCAUCUCUACGUUCGCCGCGGCGACGUUGACGGGACAAGCCGACCGGUUUAGUCGACAUCAUCAAAAAAGCACAGUAAUCAUAUUAAACAUGACACUAUCGACGAAUUGACCGACAACGACCGCGUGGAGAACGUAGGAUCAAAACUCCCAUCGAUAGUAGUUGAACUAAAGAUGCGACUUCAUAUAUGUACAAACACACACACACACACACACACAAUAAUUAGGAACAUUGGGUCGGCAAGACUAACAACACACAAUUACGAACAUUGGGUCGACUUCUCCCAAUCGACAACCGGUACCACACGUCGAAUAUAUAAUAACUGGCCAUUCCAAAUACGUAAGACAAAUACGUCCCUUCGCCUGCAAAACCAAAGGCCAAUAACAACGAGAGACAACCACUUAGUACAAGACGUCAUACAGAUAAAAGCCGGACAUUCCAAAUAUACUAGACAAAUACUUUGAAACGCACUCAAGUCAACACACAAUAACAAAUUGAGCGUAUGACGAACUCCAUAUGUAAAAAGACGGUCAAACAUGAGGACUUGUGUCGGAUCACAGACGGGACGCCAAUGUAGAUCGUAUCUGAACCAACCAACAGUGUACAAAUAUGAAAUCUUCCCCAAUAAUACAUUUUAAGUGACGGCUUGUACUCAUUAUCGACAACAUCCACAGGCCGUUAUC